This 587-nucleotide ribosomal RNA is filed under the name uncultured bacterium. Its description in RNAcentral is "partial 16S ribosomal RNA". It matches the Rfam family "Bacterial small subunit ribosomal RNA", at positions 355 to 1375 of the family's 1533-position model. The record is from RNAcentral.
UGGGGAAUUUUGGACAAUGGGGGGAAACCCUGAUCCAGCCAUCCCGCGUGUGCGAUGAAGGCCUUCGGGUUGUAAAGCACUUUUGGCAGGAAAGAAACGUCGCGGGUUAAUACCCCGCGGAACUGACGGUACCUGCAGAAUAAGCACCGGCUAACUACGUGCCAGCAGCCGCGGUAAUACGUAGGGUGCAAGCGUUAAUCGGAAUUACUGGGCGUAAAGCGUGCGCAGGCGGUUCGGAAAGAAAGAUGUGAAAUCCCAGAGCUUAACUUUGGAACUGCAUUUUUAACUACCGGGCUAGAGUGUGUCAGAGGGAGGUGGAAUUCCGCGUGUAGCAGUGAAAUGCGUAGAUAUGCGGAGGAACACCGAUGGCGAAGGCAGCCUCCUGGGAUAACACUGACGCUCAUGCACGAAAGCGUGGGGAGCAAACAGGAUUAGAUACCCUGGUAGUCCACGCCCUAAACGAUGUCAACUAGCUGUUGGGGUCUUCGGACCCUUGGUAGCGCAGCUAACGCGUGAAGUUGACCGCCUGGGGAGUACGGUCGCAAGAUUAAAACUCAAAUGAAUUGACGGGGUCAUAGCUGUUUCCU